GAAAUGCGAUAAGUAAUGUGAAUUGCAGAAUUCAGUGAAUCAUCGAAUCUUUGAACGCACCUUGCGCUCCUUGGUAUUCCUUGGAGCAUGCCUGUUUGAGUAUCAUGAAAUCUUCAAAGUAAAUCUUUUGUUAACUCAAUUGGUUUCUACUUUGGUAUUGGAGGUCUUUGCAGCUUCACACCUGCUCCUCUUUGUUCAUUAGCUGGAUCUCAGUGUUAUGCUUGGUUCCACUCGGCGUGAUAAGUUAUCUAUCGCUGAGGACACUGUAAAAGGUGGCCAAGGUAAAUGCAGAUGAACCGCUUCUAAUAGUCCAUUGACUUGGACAAUACUUUUAUGAUCUGAUCUCAAAUCAGGUAGGACUACCCGGUGAACUUAAGC
RNAcentral lists this unclassified non-coding RNA (378 nucleotides) under plant metagenome. RNAcentral describes it as "partial contains 5.8S ribosomal RNA, internal transcribed spacer 2, and large subunit ribosomal RNA". The stretch from base 1 to 105 matches the Rfam family "5.8S ribosomal RNA", at positions 50 to 154 of the family's 154-position model. The record is from RNAcentral.